AGAACGAACGCUGGCGGCGUGGAUUAGGCAUGCAAGUCGAACGCGAACGGGACUAGAACAAAUCUUCGGAUGAGGGAAGGUCCUUAGUAGAGUGGCGAACGGGUGAGUAGCGCGUGGGAAACCUGCCCUAAAGUUGGGGAUAACACUCCUAACGGGGUGCUAAUACCGAAUGUGGCCACGAGUACACAAGUGCACGUGAUUAAAGGCAGCCUCUACUUGUAAGCUGUCGCUUUAGGAUGGUCCCGCGUCCCAUUAGCUUGAUGGUGAGGUAACGGCUCACCAUGGCUCUGAUGGGUAGCUGGUCUGAGAGGAUGGUCAGCCACACUGGGAUUGAGAUACGGCCCAGACUCCUUCGGGAGGCAGCAGUCGAGAGGCUUUGGCAAUGGGGGAAACCCUGACCAAGCGACGCCGCGUGGGUGAUGAAGGCCUUCGGGUUGUAAAGCCCUGUCAUAGGGGAAGAAUGGCGAUGGUGUUAAUAGCACCGUCGUGUGACGGUACCCUAAGAGGAAGCUCCGGCCAACUCCGUGCCAGCAGCCGCGGUAAUACGGAGGGAGCAAGCGUUGUUCGGAAUUACUGGGCGUAAAGGGCGUGUAGGCGGUCUUUUAAGUCAGACGUGAAAUCUUUCGGCUCAACCGGAAACGUGCGUUUGAAACUGGAAGGGCUUGAGUCAUGGAGAGGAAAGUGGAAUUCCUGGUGUAGCGGUGAAAUGCGUAGAUAUCAGGAAGAACACCAGUGGCGAAGGCGACUUUCUGGCCAUGUACUGACGCUGAGGCGCGAAAGCCAGGGGAGCGAACGGGAUUAGAUACCCCGGUAGUCCUGGCCGUAAACGUUGGGCACUAGGUGUAGGGGGUAUCGACCCCCUCUGUGCCGGAGCUAACGCAUUAAGUGCCCCGCCUGGGGAGUACGGCCGCAAGGCUGAAACUCAAAGGAAUUGACGGGGGCCCGCACAAGCGGUGGAGCAUGUGGUUCAAUUCGAUGCAACGCGAAGAACCUUACCCGGGCUUGACAUGUUUCCGACAGGUGUGGAAACACACCCUCUCUUAGGAGCGGUUGCACAGGUGCUGCAUGG
Molecule: ribosomal RNA, 1069 nt
Filed under: uncultured bacterium
Lineage: Bacteria
Description: bacterial SSU rRNA
Rfam family: Bacterial small subunit ribosomal RNA
Source: RNAcentral